GAGGUUGUGGCUCAGUGGUAGAGUGCUUGUCUAGCAUGUGAGAGGCACUGGGUUCCAUCCUCAGCACCACA
RNAcentral lists this transfer RNA (71 nucleotides) under Marmota monax (woodchuck). Its description in RNAcentral is "tRNA.Ala". Lineage: Eukaryota; Metazoa; Chordata; Mammalia; Rodentia; Sciuridae. The record is from RNAcentral.